RNAcentral lists this non-coding RNA (25 nucleotides) under Arabidopsis thaliana (thale cress). The record is from RNAcentral. RNAcentral also lists the same sequence under 1 other name. Lineage: Eukaryota; Viridiplantae; Streptophyta; Magnoliopsida; Brassicales; Brassicaceae.
UCUGCCCGUUGCUCUGAUGAUUCAU